This 159-nucleotide ribosomal RNA is filed under the name Caralluma tuberculata. RNAcentral's name for it is "5.8S ribosomal RNA". It matches the Rfam family "5.8S ribosomal RNA". From Rfam's summary of the family: 5.8S ribosomal RNA (5.8S rRNA) is a component of the large subunit of the eukaryotic ribosome. It is transcribed by RNA polymerase I as part of the 45S precursor that also contains 18S and 28S rRNA. Functionally, it is thought that 5.8S rRNA may be involved in ribosome translocation. Lineage: Eukaryota; Viridiplantae; Streptophyta; Magnoliopsida; Gentianales; Apocynaceae. The record is from RNAcentral.
CGACUCUCGACAACGGAUAUCUAGGCUCUCGCAUCGAUGAAGAACGCAGCCAAAUGCGAAACUUGGUGUGAAUUGCAGAAUCCCGUGAAUCAUCGAGUUUUUGAACGCAAGUUGCGCCCAAAGUCAUUAGGCCGAGGGCACGUCUGCCUGGGUGUCACG